UGGAAGAGGCAAGAGUGCGCGUAUUUUGUUUGUCGUGUCGCGGUGUGUUUUAUAGUAAUUAUUUAGAAUAUUCAGGAGUUAUAGGAAACAAUUAUUCUUGUUGUGUGUGAGCAGUACUAAAAACCAAAAAGCCGUUCGACGGCUUUUUUGUUCAGAUUUAAAUCUGCAGGUUCCAGGCUGACCGGAAGUACCAUUCCCGGUUGUGUGCUCGGCGCACCGCAUCAUAACUCCAUCGUGGACCGCACUUUUGAACCCACGUGUCGGGUUGGAAUCCCGGCACCAACCAACCUCGUCGGAAGGGAGCUGCUACAAAAUUAUGUAUUAGAGUAAUUAACGAAUAAAUGUUUGAG
Toxorhynchites rutilus septentrionalis is the source of this 350-nucleotide long non-coding RNA. RefSeq lists it as uncharacterized. The transcript is spliced from 3 exons. The record is from RefSeq and is a predicted model, not a curated record. Lineage: Eukaryota; Metazoa; Arthropoda; Insecta; Diptera; Culicidae.